RNAcentral lists this long non-coding RNA (283 nucleotides) under Ananas comosus (pineapple). RNAcentral describes it as "long non-coding RNA (ACOM_LNC012690)". Lineage: Eukaryota; Viridiplantae; Streptophyta; Magnoliopsida; Poales; Bromeliaceae. The record is from RNAcentral.
AUCAAAUUAUAACUCUGACUUUUGAAUUAUAAAAUCUCAUUUUGUUCAUUCUGCUGCAUCAGAAUCUUUAAAUUUAUUUCUUUACUGAGCACUCUUUAAAAAUUAUUAGUGUUGCCUACUGUUCCUAACUCAAGUGAUAAAGGAUUUGAUGUUUGGUACUCGAGGUUUUAAAUUUGAAUUCUAAUUAAUUCACAUUUCUGGCUAAAUUUUAAAAAAAAAAAAAAUAAAUGAAGCGAAUAAUAUGCUACCUAAAUAACACGAAACAAGCCUGCCUCACUGUGCU